Molecule: non-coding RNA, 25 nt
Filed under: Dryobates pubescens (Downy woodpecker)
Lineage: Eukaryota; Metazoa; Chordata; Aves; Piciformes; Picidae
Source: RNAcentral
CUUUUAACUCUUUCUGUGUUACUAC